UGGGGAAUUUUGGACAAUGGGCGAAAGCCUGAUCCAGCAAUGCCGCGUGUGUGAAGAAGGCCUUCGGGUUGUAAAGCACUUUUGUCCGGAAAGAAAUCCUCUGGGUUAAUACCUCGGGGGGAUGACGGUACCGGAAGAAUAAGCACCGGCUAACUACGUGCCAGCAGCCGCGGUAAUACGUAGGGUGCAAGCGUUAAUCGGAAUUACUGGGCGUAAAGCGUGCGCAGGCGGUUUUGUAAGACGGAUGUGAAAUCCCCGGGCUUAACCUGGGAACUGCAUUCGUGACUGCAAGGCUAGAGUAUGGCAGAGGGGGGUUAGAAUUCCACGUGUAGCAGUGAAAUGCGUAGAGAUGUGGAGGAAUACCGAUGGCGAAGGCAGCCCCCUGGGCCAAUACUGACGCUCAUGCACGAAAGCGUGGGGAGCAAACAGGAUUAGAUACCCUGGUAGUCCACGCCCUAAACGAUGUCAACUAGUUGUUGGGGAUUCAUUUCCUUAGUAACGUAGCUAACGCGUGAAGUUGACCGCCUGGGGGAGUACGGUCGCAAGAUUAAAACUU
Molecule: ribosomal RNA, 556 nt
Filed under: uncultured bacterium
Lineage: Bacteria
Description: partial 16S ribosomal RNA
Rfam family: Bacterial small subunit ribosomal RNA
Source: RNAcentral